GCACGGGCUUGACCCGACUCCGAUCGGAUCACUUUACUAUUGCGUCUCUGCGACUCCAAAUUCUAGAGAAUGAGUGAAGAAAACCAAUUUCGAGUCUCGAAACCCUAGCUGUCCUGUGAUUUGGAACCUCGAAAUUGAUGGUUUUUGCUAAUUUCGCGUUGUUGGGGAAGAAGAUGGGAUCGGACGAGGAGGAUUUCGUCUUCUUCGGUACGCCGACUGAGCGCGAGGAAGAAAUCGCGAGCCGUAAAAGGAAAGCGAUCGCGGAGGCUUCAGAGAAUAUGGGAGCCCUCUCUUCGUGGAACAAAGAGCUCAGGUUUGAUCUUAUUUUUGUCUGCUUGGUCGCGGAUGAACUGGGAAAGCAAGUGAUCUGAGAGUGAUGUCGAGACGCUGCGAUGGUUCAGUGUUUUCGCCUCUCUCGCUUCUCAAUUUCUUUGGACUGAAUUGAAUUCCAGACAGUUGGAACAUUUACGAGUUUGGGACAUGACAGUGGUUUGGUGUUCUGGUUCUCUAGUUUCUGAAGUUUCGCUGAUGAACCAAACUGCGGUUAGGGAAGCUUUCAUGGGGCAUUUUACUGGAGGAUUUUCUGCCGGGUAUUACGAUAAGGUUGGAUCGAAAGAGGGUAAAAUUCUAUUGUCUAUGAACUCAAUGAAAAAUAGAGGCUGGACUCCUCAGUCUUUUAAAGAACUGGGCUGGAGUGAGAAAGCAGAAAUAUUUCUGAUUUUAUGGACGGUGGCUAGGGUCAUCGCACCGAUGGUCGUGUCAAACACAGUUAUUAGUCCAGUCGAAUCGGAGGAAGUCUUGCGAGAAUCGCUCGAACCGAGCCUCGGUUAAAGCCGGAUGGCUAAAACCGGACGUCCUGCACAAAUUCAGGCAACAUUGCGAUGCAGAGGCAAGCUCCCAGGUCGGUGAACAAGGGAUAACAAACCACUUUGGGUUCCGGAAAUUCGGGGCCGGUACUCUAGCUCCCAGGUCGUGACCAUUCGAUCGACUGUGUGGAACCCGUGGCUACUACAAUCCAAAGAGCACACAAUCCUGCAAAAGGAAGGAGCAGCGAACACUACAGAGCGUUAGCAUAAAGUCGCAAGCUAUCUACAACCUUGGCUUCACCGACGGAUGACAGGGACGUCUCUAGACCGACAACCAUAACCCUAGACGAGGGCGGCGACACGAUUUAAGCCGAGGGAAGAAUGGCAGGUGGGACCAAUGAGGCCGCCACGCACCAUUGGUGGUAGCUCCACAUGACGACAUGGACGUGUAGUCUGUCAUCCACGACAAUGUGGAGGACAAUUUUACGGCGAAAGUCGGGUUAACGGUAGGGCUGGGCACGGGCGGGUACCCGGACGUUUUAAGACAUCUUUAUCUCGAUCUCAGUCUCGUCGGGUUUUUUAUUGUCUUAUCUCGAUCUCAGUCUCACAAGGUUCGGGUACCCGAGAUCCGGGUAUCCGAGACACGAGAUCGGGUAUCCGCGGGACCCGAACCCGUACUCACUUUUAAAAACAUGUACGUAAUUAUAUUGCAAAAUAUAACUAAACCUAAAACCUGUACAAUAUUUUCAUCCAAAUUACAACCCAUAAUUCUUAAACAUAUGGAGACGGAGGCAGUAGAAACGAGGGAGAGAAAGAGAACGGAGACGGCUGAGAAAAGGAGGCUGAACAAAGCCAGAGACGACGAAGACAGAGGCGGAGCAAAGCAGAGACGAUGGAGACGGGAGCAGCCGAACCGAGGGAGAGAAAGAGAGUGAUGGAGGCGGACGAACAGAGAACGGCGAAGAUGGAGAUCAGAGCCUCAGGCGACGAGAGUGAUGGAGGCGGACGAACAGAGAACACGGCGACGAUGGAGCUCAGAGCCUCAGGCGACAGGCGAUGACGGACGGAUCAGAAAGUGUGAGAGCCUGAGAGAUGAGAUUGAGAGUGAUAGAGGCUAUAAUCGAAAAGAGAGACUGAGAGUGAGAGUGAGAGUGAGAGAGGCGCCGAAAAUGUGAGAGAAUGAGAGUUGGGAUAAUUAGGGUUAGGGUUAGGGUUAGAUUUAGGAAUAGGUAUUUAUGUAAAUAUAUUAAAAAUAAGGGUUAUUUUUGUAAUUUUAUACUUUUUCGGUACCCAUGAGAUAACCCGGAAAAAUAUAUUGAAACUCGAACUCGUAACCCGAAACUCGGGUUUGUUGAGAUAAAAACCCGGCUUGUAUCUCGUUAACUCAUAAGACAAUACAAACCGGGUACCCGUGAGAUAGGGUACCCGGAAACCCGCGGGUCUCGGGUAAAAAUGUCCACCCCUAGUUAACGGCCAAGGCUCUCUCUUCGACCAUUUGGAGAGGGAGUAUUGUUAGAUUAUGGUUUUAUUUUGUUAUUUUUUAUAUUUUGGGUUUUAUUUAUUUAUAGUGUCUCUGGUUGUAGUGAGUUUCUUAAUUUGCUUUUGUGGGGUUGUGAACCCUUAUGUGUUUUGAACGGGAUUCAUUUCGUUACAAUAUCGCAUUGUACCAAAAAAAAAAAAGAGCCUUCGGAAGUUUAUUUCUCGUAAAAGAUAUUUUGGCAUAAAGUGCGGAAAAUCAAAACUCGUAAAUAAAAUUAUUAUUUACUCGAGCACUGACUAUUAAAUAAAUUAGCAAGCGCCCAUUUGCCUCGAUCCAUCCAUCCAUCCGCCCAUCCACUUUGUUUGCCAAAAGGAUACAAAGAGAGAGAGAGAAUGUACGGCAAAAGGGUAAAAAUGGUGACGACAGAUUCCUGGUUCAAACUUCGUUACUCUUUUCUCUCUCUCUCUCUCUGUUGAUUCGUGCUUUUUGAAAAUCUCCGAUUCCACCCUCCUUCCUGUCAUUCGUACAUGCAUAUUUGUAUGCACGCCUCUCUAUAGGUAUAUAUGUAUGAGCGCUUGUGGAUAUGUCUCUGCAUCUCUCUUGUGUGUAUGCGUGUAUGAAUCUAUGUAUCUGUCCUUUUUGUGUUUGUCGUGAAGGUUUUAGGCAAUGGAGAUUCAACUUCCGAUCCAGGUUUGAUUUCAAGUACUUUGUUUUUCUUAUUGCCGAGUUCUCAGAUCUGUGAUUUUCGUUGCUUGAUGCGGAUAUUUUUUCCUAUUUUUUCUUCCGUGAUUUUUUCUCUUACUCUCUGGAAUGGGGAAGUCGCUGGAGGCAGCGGUUCAUCGAUCUCUUCAUGGGAAUUUGAUGUUCAGAAUACAUCAAAGGCACGAAUCGAUCGAUAAACCUCUGCAUCCAGCGCUUGCCCCCCGCGAAUCUGUUUGGUUACUGAGAAAAGUCCGGGUAAAGUGAAAGGAAAAUCGAUAUGUUCGGAUUUGGAGACUGGAAAAUGUCCUCAGCUGCCUACACGGCUUUAGAACUUAGGAAUUUGGUUUGGGAACAACUCCGGGAAAAGGGUAAUCUGAAUUUGUGUUUCCCAUGCGCUGAGCCUGUUUGGUUGCUGAGAAAGUGAGGGAAAACAAACAAAGUUAGCAUUUGGAAUUUUCCUCAGCAGUCUGACCGAGUGUUUUUUUAACUUAUUGUUUGGAAGAAAAAAAUGGAUGACAAUGAAGCAGAUUGAAAAGGGGGAUUUUUUUUUUUUGCAAUUUGUAGAAGCCAGAAGGUAUUGGCACUUGUCUUUGGUAAAAAAAAAAUCAACUUUUUUUUUCUCCAGUUUCUGAUUGUUGGUUUGCCAAUCCAACUUGUGUUCGUAGAUCACAGAUGCAUGAGUUCUAAUCUUAGAUCGGGGAUCUGCACUCUGAUGACAACUUUUGAUUCUGUUGAUCAUGCCCUUCCUUCUGUUCUCUUAAGCUGAUUUGAAUUUUGAACGCUGGUUCUGAUUAUAACUAUGAUGAUUAUGAGGUUGACUAUGCUUUGAUAAUUUCGUCUUCUCCUUUGAUAUAAAUCAAUUCGCAGGUUCUGUUCUUGAUUGAUGCAUUGGCACCAAGUUUGAUGAUUUCUCUUUGUCAAAGUUUUCCACCAAUCUCUUGGUGUUGGCCCUUGAUGUGUCACUUCCUUUCCCGGCCUUGUGAGAUGUGGAUUUAAGCGGCCCUUUUCUUGAUUCUUUGAACACUAAAUGCUCGUGCGAAUUUUAGUUGGCUGCUGGUUAUAUGCUUUGAGAUGGACAGAAGGGUGGAUGUCCAUCCCAUCCCAUGGAAAAGUGAACCAGUUCACUUGCUAGAAGUUCAUGUCUGUUUCAGUUUCAUGGCAUCAUUUUGGCAUAGAAGACACGCGUGUGGUCUUCUGUUAGCCGAUUUUCCAUAUUUGGCAGAAGAGGGGGCGGAUUCACUCUUUUAGAAAUUAGGAUUGUGGGUAUCAUAUAAUGAUUCCGUUCUCCAAUUUGGCAAGAAAACAAGUGAGUUCACAUCUUUGUCUUAGAUUCCCCUCCCCAAAAGAAAAGGACCGUAUUAGAAGAACACGAGGAAAUAAUGUUAUUCUCCUUGUUUUAAUGGGUUAAGGAUUGGUUAGCUAUCCCAACACUAGAAAUUUCAAAUGGGUUGGGUUAAACGGUUUAAUCCAAUUGAUUUAUAAUUCUAUUUCUAUUGACUGUUUGGGUUUUUAUUAAGUAAAUAGUUUUAAUGGGUUUAACACA
Molecule: long non-coding RNA, 4531 nt
Organism: Tarenaya hassleriana
Lineage: Eukaryota; Viridiplantae; Streptophyta; Magnoliopsida; Brassicales; Cleomaceae
Exons: 2
Source: RefSeq, a predicted model, not a curated record